CGCGAAUGGCUCAUUACAACAGCUAUAAUUUACUUGAUCUUGACUUCCUACUUGGAUAACUGUGGUAAUUCUAGAGCUAAUACAUGCACCAAAGCUCCGACCUUACGGGAAGAGCGCAUUUAUUCGAACAAAACCAAGCGGCUUCGGCUGUUUCUGGUUGACUCAUAGUAACUGAGCUGAUCGCAUGGUCUUGCGCCGGCGACGUGUCUUUCAAGUAUCUGCCGUAUCAACUUUCGAUGGUAGUGUAUCUGACUACCAUGGUGAUCACGCGUAACGGAGGAUAAGGGUUCGACUCCGGAGAAGGGGCCUGAGAAAUGGCCACUACGUCUAAGGAUGGCAGCAGGCGCGCAAAUUACCCACUCUCAGUACGAGGAGGUAGUGACGAGAAAUAACAAGACCGUUCUCACAAGAGGCCGGUCAUUGGAAUGGGUACAAUUUAAACCCUUUAACGAGUAUCUAUGAGAGGGCAAGUCUGGUGCCAGCAGCCGCGGUAAUUCCAGCU
RNAcentral lists this ribosomal RNA (502 nucleotides) under Nagelus obscurus. RNAcentral describes it as "SSU rRNA". It matches the Rfam family "Eukaryotic small subunit ribosomal RNA", at positions 88 to 590 of the family's 1831-position model. Lineage: Eukaryota; Metazoa; Nematoda; Chromadorea; Rhabditida; Merliniidae. The record is from RNAcentral.